GUGAUGUGUUGCGUUUUUAACGGUUUCGAGUCUUGGUUUAGUCCGUGUUUUGAGUCAUCUAUCGUGUCAAAGUCCGUCUUUUGCGUCUUUUCGGUUGUGUCUUGAGUCCUUUGCAGGUUAUAGGUGCUCGAGCUGGAUUCGGAGCAUCUUGUGCAUGAUUGAGCCUAUUCGGAGCUAAAACAAUGGAGAAACGGUACAAGAGAUCACCAGGAGCUGGGGAUCGAUCGAUCCAAGGCGUGGAUCGAUCGAUCCCAAUUGUGACGAUGAAGCCAAAAGUUCCAGUAGCUCGAGAUCGAUCGAUCCCAGGAGGGGAUCGAUCGAUCCAGCAUCAUCCGUCCAAGAACAAUUGAUUCAGCAUAUCUGGAUCGAUCGAUCCACCCAUGGGAUCGAUCGAUCCGAGCCUCGACGUCCCGAGACGGUUUUCCUAAACCGGGUUUUGUCUUCUUUUUUUUGUACUUGGGUAUAAAAACC
RNAcentral lists this long non-coding RNA (471 nucleotides) under Arabidopsis lyrata. RNAcentral's name for it is "long non-coding RNA (ALYR_LNC000920)". Lineage: Eukaryota; Viridiplantae; Streptophyta; Magnoliopsida; Brassicales; Brassicaceae. The record is from RNAcentral.